This 592-nucleotide long non-coding RNA is filed under the name Linum usitatissimum (flax). Its description in RNAcentral is "long non-coding RNA (LUSI_LNC003620)". The record is from RNAcentral. Lineage: Eukaryota; Viridiplantae; Streptophyta; Magnoliopsida; Malpighiales; Linaceae.
UUCAUCAAAACGAGAGCCUCCAUUCUCAACAUGUACAACAUCUGAAAGAAAAACAUUACCUGUAGAUCAGUAGUAUAUCAAGUACAUAUCUGUAAAUUUUGAUACUCAAUACAUAGAGAAAGAUCUUUUUUCUGAAAACUUACAUCUCCCUUUGAGUUUAUCGCUAUCACAGUAAAACAGUUUCACUUCCAUAAAAUUACAGAUAUUUGAAGUAAAACAUCAUUUGUUCUUAAUAAUUGAAAUUUGAUGGAAGUUUAGUGAUUUCCACAUGGGAAACUGAGAAGAUGUUUCUCUAAACUAGUGGAUCAUGAUUCCUCAUUUGUCUGUAAUUAGUAGACAUUCAGAAUCAAGUAAUGAAAGACGCAAUCGUGCAUCUACCUUAUCACAUUCAUUAAUACUUCAAACCUAAUGGACCUCGCAUGAUGAAACUAAUCAACCCCCACGAUUGCAGAGGAAGCUUCAAAUAUGGACCAUGUUUCCCAUUUGCUUCCACGGCCAGAUGGAUCUUGCCUCCUCCCUGCAUGAACCACCACGAUCCUGCAUCAUGAAUGAUGUAUAACAUAUGAGUUGGAGUACUUGGUGGGCAAGGAAC